AGUUUGAUCCUGGCUCAGGAUGAACGCUGGCGGUCUGCUUAACACAUGCAAGUCGAACGGGACUCUUCGGAGUUUAGUGGCGGACGGGUGAGUAGCGCGUGAGAAUCUGCCCUUAGGUUGGGGACAACAGUUGGAAACGACUGCUAAUACCCAAUGUGCCGAGAGGUGAAAGGUUAACUGCCUGGGGAUGAGCUCGCGUCUGAUUAGCUAGUUGGAGUGGUAACGGCACACCAAGGCGACGAUCAGUAGCUGGUCUGAGAGGAUGAUCAGCCACACUGGGACUGAGACACGGCCCAGACUCCUACGGGAGGCAGCAGUGGGGAAUUUUCCGCAAUGGGCGAAAGCCUGACGGAGCAAGACCGCGUGAGGGAGGAAGGCCUAUUGGUUGUAAACCUCUUUUGAUAGGGAAGAACACAAUGACGGUACCUAUCGAAUCAGCAUCGGCUAACUCCGUGCCAGCAGCCGCGGUAAUACGGAGGAUGCAAGCGUUAUCCGGAUUUAUUGGGCGUAAAGCGUCCGUAGGUGGCAAACCAAGUCAGUUGUUAAAGCGUAGAGCUUAACUCUAUAAGGGCAAUUGAAACUGGUUAGCUAGAGUGCGAUAGGGGCAAGGGGAAUUCCCAGUGUAGCGGUGAAAUGCGUAGAUAUUGGGAAGAACAUCGGUGGCGAAGGCGCCUUGCUGGGUCUGCACUGACACUGAGGGACGAAAGCUAGGGGAGCGAAAGGGAUUAGAUACCCCUGUAGUCCUAGC
RNAcentral lists this ribosomal RNA (748 nucleotides) under cyanobacterium enrichment culture clone 4_10_4.5.5_A04-T7. RNAcentral's name for it is "bacterial SSU rRNA". It matches the Rfam family "Bacterial small subunit ribosomal RNA", at positions 10 to 800 of the family's 1533-position model. The record is from RNAcentral. Lineage: Bacteria; Bacillati; Cyanobacteriota.